This 614-nucleotide unclassified non-coding RNA is filed under the name Hevea brasiliensis (rubber tree). Lineage: Eukaryota; Viridiplantae; Streptophyta; Magnoliopsida; Malpighiales; Euphorbiaceae. The record is from RNAcentral.
GGGAUUCUGUUCUACAGCAAACUUCACAACUCAAGAAAAGCACAAAAGAAUUUGAUCAAAGAAAGGAAGGAGAUGUUAAAUGCCAAACAUAGCGGCAAAUCGGCCAGGAUUUUCACAGGCAAAGAGAUAAUAAAAGCAACCAACAACUUCUCCAAAGACAAUCUCGUUGGGUCUGGUGGAUUUGGUGAGGUCUUCAAGGGCAUUCUUGAUGAUGGAACCACAAUAGCCACCAAGAGAGCUAAGUUGGGAAAUACCAAAGGCACCGAUCAAGUCCUUAACGAGGUUCGAAUUCUUUGCCAGGUGAAUCACAGGAGUCUUGUAAGACUUCUGGGCUGCUGCGUUGAGCUUGAGCAGCCUAUCAUGAUUUAUGAGUAUAUCCCCAACGGAACCCUCUUUGAUCAGCUUCAUUGUCACCAUUCCAGUAAGUGGAGGCCUCUUACAUGGCAACGCAGGCUACGAAUUGCCCAUCAAACUGCCGAAGGUCUAGCAUAUCUCCACUCUGCUGCUGUGCCUCCUAUUUAUCAUCGUGAUGUAAAAUCCAGCAACAUUUUACUUGACGAAAGGCUAAAUGCCAAAGUUUCUGAUUUCGGGCUCUCCAGGCUAGUGGAGACAAG